AAUAUCCUACUAUUAUAUAAAGAGACAACGUUUGUUAGUUUAUCCGCAAACAUUUUAAAAACUACUAGUUCGAAUUGAAGUCAUUUUUGUGUUGGAUAGUCCAUUUAUCGAGGAAGGCUAUAGGCUAUUGACAUUCAUCCCUUAUUGAAAAUCAUCCCCCGAAAUUCGGUUUUUAGGUAUUAUUAUUAGGUAUUAUUAUUAGGUAUUAUUUUAGGUAUUAUUUAUUUAUUUAUUUGGAUUACCUUAGUAACAUGAAUGAAAUGAAAACAAAUUUAAAAGGUUGGUCAACACCUUAUAGUAUCUAUAGUAUCAAUAGUAAUUAGCGUGUUGUCGUUAGCGUGCCCAGAAAUUUUCAAUGGGAGGGAAUGUAACAAAUAAAAAUCGUGAAUAAAGCGUGAAAUCGUCUUCUCUACCCAACUCGACUAUGGA
Cinara cedri is the source of this 429-nucleotide non-coding RNA. The record is from the annotation of a GenBank genome assembly. NCBI's taxonomy places the organism in Eukaryota, Metazoa, Arthropoda, Insecta, Hemiptera, Aphididae.